CCUGCCCAGUGACAAGAUUUAACGGCCGCGGUACCCUAACCGUGCGAAGGUAGCAUAAUCACUUGUUCUUUAAAUGAGGACCAGUAUCAACGGCAUCACGAGGAUCUUACUGUCUCCCCCCCCCAAUCAGUGAAACUGAUCUCUCCGUGAAGAAGCGGGGAUAUCUACAUAAGACGAGAAGACCCCAUGGAGCUUUAAACCCGAUGACACCCACUUACUCUAUACCCUCACAUACUUUUGGCUACUGCUUACUCGGUUUUAGGUUGGGGUGACCACGGAGUACAAAACAACCUCCAUGAAGAAAGGAAAAAUAAACCUCAUCAGAGAAUAACACUUCCAAGAGCUAAUAAAUUAAUUUUAAUGAUCCGAUAUUCGAUCAACGAACCAAGUUACCCUGGGGAUAACAGC
This 408-nucleotide ribosomal RNA is filed under the name Boophis sp. 28 MV-2009. RNAcentral's name for it is "partial 16S ribosomal RNA". It matches the Rfam family "Bacterial large subunit ribosomal RNA", at positions 1858 to 2481 of the family's 2925-position model. Lineage: Eukaryota; Metazoa; Chordata; Amphibia; Anura; Mantellidae. The record is from RNAcentral.